GUCCCGUGAUCCGGGACGAGGACCGUGUCUGGUGGGUAGUUUGACUGGGGCGGUCUCCUCCUAAAGAGUAACGGAGGAGUACGAAGGUGCGCUCAGCGUGGUCGGAAAUCACGCGUAGAGUAUAAAGGCAAAAGCGCGCUUAACUGCGAGACCCACAAGUCGAGCAGGUACGAAAGUAGGUCUUAGUGAUCCGGUGGUUCUGUAUGGAAGGGCCAUCGCUCAACGGAUAAAAGGUACUCUGGGGAUAACAGGCUGAUACCGCCCAAGAGUUCAUAUCGACGGCGGUGUUUGGCACCUCGAUGUCGGCUCAUCUCAUCCUGGGGCUGAAGCAGGUCCCAAGGGUAUGGCUGUUCGCCAUUUAAAGAGGUACGCGAGCUGGGUUUAGAACGUCGUGAGACAGUUCGGUCCCUAUCUACCGUGGGCGCUGGAAAUUUGAGAGGAUCUGCUCCUAGUACGAGAGGACCAGAGUGGACGAACCUCUGGUGUACCGGUUGUGACGCCAGUCGCAUCGCCGGGUAGCUAUGUUCGGAAGGGAUAACCGCUGAAAGCAUCUAAGCGGGAAGCCUACCUCAAGAUAAGAUUUCCCUAGGACUUUAUGUCCUCUAAAGAGCCGUUCGAGACUAGGACGUUGAUAGGUUGGAUGUGGAAGCAUAGUGAUAUGUGAAGCUGACCAAUACUAAUUGCUCGUGAGGCUUGACUAU
RNAcentral lists this ribosomal RNA (701 nucleotides) under Acinetobacter baumannii. RNAcentral describes it as "partial 23S ribosomal RNA". It matches the Rfam family "Bacterial large subunit ribosomal RNA", at positions 2230 to 2925 of the family's 2925-position model. Lineage: Bacteria; Pseudomonadati; Pseudomonadota; Gammaproteobacteria; Moraxellales; Moraxellaceae. The record is from RNAcentral.